Molecule: non-coding RNA, 45 nt
Organism: Schistosoma mansoni
Lineage: Eukaryota; Metazoa; Platyhelminthes; Trematoda; Strigeidida; Schistosomatidae
Source: Rfam
AUCCAGCUGACGAGUCCUAAAUAGGACGAAAAGCGCGUCCUGGAU